Molecule: ribosomal RNA, 438 nt
Filed under: uncultured bacterium
Lineage: Bacteria
Description: bacterial SSU rRNA
Rfam family: Bacterial small subunit ribosomal RNA
Source: RNAcentral
GCAUAACGCGAAGAACCUUACCAAGGCUUGACAUAUACCGGAAACGGCCAGAGAUGGUCGCCCCGCAAGGUCGGUAUACAGGUGGUGCAUGGUUGUCGUCAGCUCGUGUCGUGAGAUGUUGGGUUAAGUCCCGCAACGAGCGCAACCCUCGUCGUAUGUUGCCAGCACGUAAUGGUGGGAACUCAUAUGAGACUGCCGGGGGUCAACUCGGAGGAAGGUGGGGAUGACGUCAAAUCAUCAUGCCCCUUAUGUCUUGGGCUUCACGCAUGCUACAAUGGCUGGUACAAAGGGCUGCGAUACCGCGAGGUGGAGCGAAUCCCAAAAAGCCGGUCUCAGUUCGGAUUGGGGUCUGCAACUCGACCCCAUGAAGUCGGAGUCGCUAGUAAUCGCAGAUCAGCAACGCUGCGGUGAAUACGUUCCCGGGUCUUGUACACACCG